RNAcentral lists this ribosomal RNA (253 nucleotides) under uncultured bacterium. RNAcentral describes it as "partial 16S ribosomal RNA". It matches the Rfam family "Bacterial small subunit ribosomal RNA", at positions 524 to 776 of the family's 1533-position model. The record is from RNAcentral.
UACGUAGGGCGCGAGCGUUGUCCGGAAUCAUUGGGCGUAAAGAGCUCGUAGGCGGCCUGUCGCGUCUGCUGUGAAAUCCCGGGGCUCAACCCCGGGCGUGCAGUGGGUACGGGCUGGCUGGAGGCAGGCAGGGGAGAACGGAAUUCCCGGUGUAGCGGUGAAAUGCGCAGAUAUCGGGAGGAACACCGGUGGCGAAGGCGGUUCUCUGGGCCUGUACUGACGCUGAGGAGCGAAAGCGUGGGGAGCGAACAGG